Molecule: long non-coding RNA, 5201 nt
Organism: Acanthopagrus latus (yellowfin seabream)
Lineage: Eukaryota; Metazoa; Chordata; Actinopteri; Spariformes; Sparidae
Exons: 3
Source: RefSeq, a predicted model, not a curated record
ACGCAUGCGAGCGCAUUUUGUGCGUUUGCAUGUAAAUGAAAAUGGUCUUUCAGGAUGCGUCACGUCUUCCUCGUGUCCAGGUCUGCUUUGUUUUUUUUCUUUUCUGUCUGCAAACGAAGGAGCUAAUGACUAUGUCAGGUUGUGAAGCUGGCAUUUCCCCAUUGACAUCCUCAAUCCCCCAUUUACAUUUCAUAUCUGGACAUGCCACUACCCGCAAGGCCCCAUGUGAAAGGCCAGGCUGGAUUAAGGUAUCACUGUGAUUGUAUGCUACCUUAUGGACAGGCAGGCAGGCAGAGAAGACCUAAAUCCCCGUCUGGAGCAGAGCAGGUCUCAAGCUGCCGGUAAGCUCUCAUCAGUCCAACCCUCUGCUUCACAGCUCUCCCCCCUCUCAUACCUAGGAGAUCAGGCGUGAUGCCAUGUAAUGGUGGACAUAAUUGCUUUGUCCUCUAUCUAUCUUUUCCCUCUUCUCCCUCUCUGGGCUGGAAGUAACCAAAUGAAAUGAGGUGACACGCGAGGAGAGCGAGGAGUUCUGGCACCGUCAGGAAGCCCAAUCAUUUUCUGUCUCACGUCCUGAAGCAAAUGUCAGCCUGGCUCCAAUCCGACAAUAUUUAGUUGGUAUAUCUGGCAGUAUUUUUCCUCUCACCCACAUACAUCUGGUAGCUUAGCGCACGUCGACUGUUUUUUUUUAAUACUGAUGCAAUGCAGGAAGUAGCAGAUGCUGCGUGCCGAACGAAUAUGUUGUUCUCUCUCUGUAACACGGCUCAUAAGCCCCUAAAAUCACGCUUCAGUUCUGAAAGCUCGCUCCGCAGAACUGUAAAUAGCCGGUAUCAAAACACGAGCGAAGGUAGUACAGUAAUCCCACCCAGCGCAGCCAGUUGUCGGGAUUUUCCUUCCUCUCGUUAGCUCGAUACUACGGAUAAAGCGAUUGUCUUAUUUUCCCUGUAACACUCAUGAGUCAGAAAAUCUGUUUCUCAUUGUUGCGGAACCGUCCUCCCCAACCGUGAAGGAUAAGGAUAUCCAAGGUCCCUUAUUAGUAUGCACAACAAUGCAUCAUAUUUUUUCCACCGUGUCUCAUUUCCAACCCUGCAAAAUGGGGGAAGGAAUGAAAAAUAUGCGGGAGAUUACCACGUUAAACAAUUUGGUUCUGCUUAAUAGUGACUCCUUUGAUUCAGACCCCCCCGUCCCGCCAAGAUGAGCGUGGCUGAGGAAUGAUUGAGAUGCACGGAGGAAGCUUGUUCCCGGCUGCCUGCUCCUGCUAAAGCAGGGCCCACUUCACCAUAAUAAGAGGUCAUCCCUGGAGGAGUGUGGAAAUGUGUCUAAUUAAAACAAAAUGCUUUAUCAAGAGCCGAGGCAAAGUGAGCAGCUCCGGUAAGGGAAAGGGGAAAAAAAAAAAAGAAAAAAAAAUAGCCAGCAAUUUCCUGAGAUUCACAUUCUGAUAAACAUCUUAUUAGAACAGUCGGCUAUCUAGUGGAGGUGCUCUGCAUUGUAAGGAGGAAUUUUACUGGUUCUCGCCGUCGUGUUUGUGUGUGUGCGUGACUGACAAACACUACUACAACAAAUCCUGAGUCUACCUAUUUCGUCAGGCAUUUUUGGAUUUUGCUCACCUUGCAGUUAAGCGGGAGUGUAAAUUACUUUGCGCCGUGGGCACAAAGUACUUAAUUGUUUUUUUUUUUUUAUAUCAUCGUAAUUCAUCUCCGCCGACAGCUCAAUUGUGGCACUGAUGUGUUGAAAGAUGGACCAUCUGUACUUCCGCCGCUCUUCCUCUCCCUCUCUCCCCUCUGUUGCUAUUUUCGAGGUGCCAUGUUUCCAUACUGAUGCCAUCUAAGUCCGUGAUUUGUUUGCCACGAGUGUGAUGUGUGAGAUUACAGCGCGAUGGCUGCGGCUCGUGGAACGCCUCCAAGCAAGGACAAAAUAAUAAUAAUAAUAAAAAAAAAAGGAAUACAAUGCCUCGCUCAGCAAACACAUCGGAGCAGCUUGCAAUUACCACGUCUCCUGUGAUUGCAUCUCUGUGGAAAUUAAUUGCCAUUUUAAUUUAGUUUUUCCAUUGACAAAUCCCGACGAGCUUAAGAGGCGACGCUGCCGAUGAGAGACGCGCAUCCGGGGGCCACAGAUCAGGCGCGUUAUGUUCAAUCGUACUUCGGGGCGGCUUGUUUUUUGUUUUUUUUCUCUCUCUUUUUUUCCCCCUGAAGAGGAAACAGAAAACAAAAUCACAGCUAUCAAACCUCUUGAAAAUACACUCACUGAGAUCACAGCGCUGAUGUGUAUCGAGCUCUCAUUCAAAUAGCUGCAAUUUGUUAACUAAAACUUCAACCGGGGCGUGAUGGUGUCAUUUGACUCCCCCCCCCCCUCCCCCUCUUCUAGUAACUUCCCGUGUGAGAUGUUUUCGUCCUCAGUGUCGAGCAGGAAAAACCAGCCGAUCAUCACCGCGUGGUGGAGGGCUGCCGAGGCUCCAUCAGUGGGCCAUUACAUCGGUAAUGGCCCACCUGUACGAACGUGGUCUCUGUGUGAGAGGAGCGUAUGUGUUCGCUCACUGAUUGCGUGUGGCUGUGGUCCCCGGAGCCUCUUGAGCAUGUAUCCGGUGCCCACUCCAACAGGUGCAUGGUGGGAAGUAAGCAGCGGGGGCGGACUUCCAUAAUGGAGCUGGUUCAUAAUGCCACACACGUUCACAAGUCCCAAGACACUCGGUGCACAUUCUUGGUUCUGCUGCUCACGAGUCUGUAACGAUAACUAAAAAUAAAUCUAGUCUUCUCAUCACCUGCAGGAGAAGGUGAGAAUGUAAUGUUUUAUUUAAGUAUGCAUGUUUUACUGUUAUGAUUAAACUUGUGGUGCUAACAUUUACAUUAAUGUAGCAACAGAAGAAAUUAAAAUAGUUGAUUGCUGGUAGAGAUUUUAAGGACUUUGAGUACUGAAACUUCUCAAAUAAGAAAUGAAAGAAAUAUGAAACUAUGUUGAAGAGCCUUCAAUCCUGUUUAUCAACCUUACUGCAACAGUCAUCCAUGUUCAUGUUCUGUAGUUUUGACUCCUGGUCUUGGAUGGAAGAUGCUUCACAAAGGAGGAGAAGGGAAGAGAACGGAGAGAACUGAAGUGUCUGUCGGGCUGAUUGCUCACACGGGUCAGAGAAGAGAGGGAAUGGAGCUUCAGUGGAGCUGACAGGUUGCCACAUUCCCUCGUGAUAUCUUCAAAUACGGCCGCAGGGAGAGAGAAUUAAAGGCAUCACAAGAGGCCCCCUUUGAAACCUUCCAACUUAGUAUGAAAUCACUGCGUGCGAGCACUUUGAUCAGCAAACGGUCAAGCGGCAGCCGUGCAGCCGGCCAUCUCUCCGCAUUACCGUUUGGGGGCCUGCGCACGGCCCUCCACCUGACCGCGGCUGGAUUUUGCCCAUUGAACUGAUCUUCCAACAAAUAAAGCUUUAGUGCUCUGCCACGAAUUACGCUCCUCUAUCUCCCCGUCACACAUGCCUCGCAGCGCCACGCCACCUCUACGCCUGCACCCGGCAGCCCCGCGCACCCAGAGAUAAACAAAUCUGGGGUGGAAAGGCGCCAGGACUUAAAGUGGCUGAGUUACACCGCUGAGAACAGGGGCCAUCUUGACUCAGCCCUCUGCUUUUUUGUUUUUUGUUUUGUUUUCUAAGAGACAGGGUUGUAAUGAAGCUGUGUGACAGGAGGGUGCAUCUCUAAGUCAUAAGCACAUAAAUAAGCAAACGCUUUUUUUUUGUUUGUUGCAUCAAAUUGAGGUGCUUGAAGGGGAGCAGAGACACAGAGCUGAGUACGAUAUGCGUGCAAGCGGGCAGAUUUUCCACUUUGGAUUGCUUCUUCACAUGAUGCCUGUGCGUCUUGGUUGACAGGCAAACUAAGGAAGUUUGCAAAAUUAUGAUUAAAAGGCUCAGUGCAGCUACUGUUCUCACAACUUACAACGUCACAUUUCAGACAGUCUGCUUGUAUUUUCUUGUUCACCAUCACAGAAUCUGCAACCGGCCUCGGUCGCUCGAUACGUGUCCCAAAGUGAGAUAUGACUGAUAAGAACUCCUCUGUGUGUAAUAACACAGCUUCACCUUGCAAAAAUGGCUUAAUCUAUCAUUUCUUUGCACACACACACACACACACAAAAUACUCUUCCAGGCAGUCCUGUGCAAACCUUGUCCUUUCGAUAUGAAUUGAGUUAUGUUCCAAUCAAACAAAUCACGGCUUGUUCCAAACAUGGCUGCUCCAAACGGUGCCGUGAGUAAUGAAUUGAAAGAAGUCUGUAUUUGAUUACCCCCGGGCCGGCCAGGGUUGACCAAGAUCCAUUUGAGAGGUAGUGCAGUGGAAUUCCAAUAUGGACGCCCUCCAGCUAUUGACCCUGUCUUUAAGUGGGCGCUGUGCUUUUAGUGUACUUACACUGGUUGUUCCACAUCUUCUUCCUCCUGGCAGUUUUGCAAUACUUUUGAUGGCAGACACUGGCUCCCUUUUCCCCACUCUGCAUUAUUGAUGCAUCAGAGGAUGUGGAUAGCCUACUUUUUUUUGUCAUAACCCUCUAUGGGCACGGAUGCAAGGAGAGAAGGGAGACGGUGUUGGUGUGUUGUGUAACUAUCUCAAUGUCAUGACUGUGAUAGAAAAUUACAUAAAUAUAUAUAUAUUUAUGUUGCGUCGGUGCAGCUGAUGGUCUCAGCCGUGCAAAGGGAGCUCGACGCUUGGCAGCCAAUACUGAGAUCAGCCAUGAAAGAUUUAUGAUGUAUGAAUAAAAAUGGAAGGAGUGAUAGGCGAGGACUUGUUGGGUGCCUCCCCGUUGAAAUAAAUACAAUAUAAUGGUGCCUGCAGCCGAAGUAACACGACGACUCUCACAUCUCAAAGUUAGAUUCGGCAGCACGGAGGUGAAAAGAUCAAUGCACCACCAUGAAUCUGUAACAUGUUGUUUCUAUAUCCAAAGUGCCUUAUUGUAUCAGGGAACUCUGGGAUUUAUAUUCGAACCCUGAUUGAACUCCUCACCCUGAUGUGGAGGACACGAUGUCCCAGAUGUCACGGCAAAUUAUAGGACAAAGAAACUUGGGGGAAAUCAUGUCUUCAAAUCCUGACAAUCUGGGUCUGUAGGUCAGGCAGAGCGCCAACCCACCGAUCAGCCGCCACACGAUCAGCGAAAUUGAAAACUUAACGGUGCACUAUGUAGUUUUUAGGAAGAAAUUUCAAUCAGAAGAGAAAAAAAUCUUUGUACCUAAACAAACUAAU